GUCCAGAAUUAUUUCAGACCACUUUUUAGCCAUUGUCCAACACCUGGCCACUUUGUUCAUCAAUAAAAAAAAACCCAUUUUUUUUUGUUUGUUUGUUUCCUUGUCUUCGAAAUGUUAUUGCCUAACGUGUGAUAUUUUAGGGAUGGCCCUUGUUUCGAGUAGACAUUUAGAUGAGAGUGGGUUUGAAACAUGGAUGAAUACACUUGGGUGUAUAGUCCGCUCUGUAGUUAUUUUAUUAGUUGUGGUGGAUGCGAGAGUGCAAGGUUGGACUCCAGCGGUAUUUGAGCUCGGGUAUCUAGCUAAAGUGUCUUAGUUGCCUUUGAUAGGUGAAUAAAGUAAUUUCAGAAUUUCUGUGAUAUUAACAAUUGAUAGUGAUAAUGCGCGGCUCUUGCAGAAUUUUGGAAUAACUGGCCUUCGAAGUUCCAUACUUCAUGGGAAAGGAAAAACAAAAACAGGUAUUUUGGAUUUUAAUAUAAAAAAAAAUUUUUUUUUUUAAAAUCCAUUGAACAAAAAUAUUCUGGUUUCAGAUAAUCUAAUAUUGGUUUUGGCAAAUGUGACUGUAUGGUAAGAAGCUUGCUUCCCAACCAGGUGGUCUUGGGUUCAGUCCCACUGCAUGCUACCUUGGGCAAGCGUUUCCCACUAUAGCCCCCAGGCCAACCAAAUCCUUAUGAGCAGAUUUGGUAAUGGGAUGUGUUUUGUGUAAUAUGUAUGUUUGUCCUCCACCAUUGGUUGACACCUGGUGUUGGUUAAUGACCCCAUAACUACCAGUUCGUCAAAAAGAGCCCCCCAAAAAUAAGUACCAGGUUUAAAUAUUGGGGUCAGGUUAAGGCAGAGCCUCACCAUGGCUUCAGAUCAAUGACCGAAACAAAAGAUAAUAGCAUUUUAAACAUUGUGUUGGUGGUCAUUUAUUUCCAAGAUUGAAUUAUAUAUAAGAUUUAGAUUAGGCAGUAAAAUGGUUAGCAAAACCUUCUGGUCAGUCUUUUCUCAGAUCUGGUCUUCCAAAUUGCAAUUACGUACACUAUUCACACACACAACAGCACUAAAAGAAGAAAAAAAGUAUAUAAGGAACAAAAAUUCUUUUUUGAAUUUUGGAAUUAGCAGAGGGGUGGAAGAAGCUUAGCAAUAAUAGAAUGUUUGUUUAUAAAUAUUGGCAUCUUUUCAGUUGCCAUCUUUCUAAAACAGAAAUUUUAUUUUACCACAACUCUUGAGAAUUUUUUUUAACAAAAGUCCUUAAAAAUUUAUUGCUUGCCAAUCCGUUUCCCUAUUCUGAAGUGCAAGCAUUUUUCUUACAUAUUCUGCUUUCCACAGAAUUUUGUUUUUGAUGCGAUGCCUUUGUGCAGUUAAGCACUUAGUUGCAAAUUGUACAGAGGUCUUCAGGAAAAGCUAAUUGUUAUUGUUGACAUAGGAAUUUAUAAACUUUCAGAGAACAUAAAGCAAUUCUUUUUGGAACUGUGGAUCUUGAAGGAAAUGUGUCUCUUUGGUUAGAAAAAGUUUAUUUAUCCUUGGUCUUAAAGGUUUUUUUUUUAACCCAAUAUAUUUUACUUGCUGUUAUUUGUGGCUUUAUUUUCUUUGAGAUCCACUGUUACAAAAAAAAUAUUAUAGGUGUUUCUUAUUAAAUACUUUCUGAAGUUAAUACACCAUUAGUAUUUCUAGAUAUUUAAAUAUUACAUCCUCAAACAUGCUGCUAUAUUUUGGCAAAUUUUAAUUUUGGUGAUGCCAUGUAAAAAGCACUGCUGCUGGUGCUUCAUAAAAAGCACCCAGUACACUCUGUAAAUUGAUUGGCAUUAGGAAGUGCAUUCAGCCAUAGAAACAGUGCCAGAACAGUUUGGACCCUGGUGCAGUCCUGUUAUACUAAUCUGAUCUUUUUAGAUUUACAAGAAUUUUUUUGGUUUUGUAGGUUUUAAUUUAAUGUCUGCUGUAUUGAGUUAGUGCUGGCAUUAUUUUAAUGUUUUGGGUGAUUUGUUGUUAAGACAGGCACCAAGCAAGCAGUUAGUCCUAUUAGUGGCAUUUUAUUUUAUCUACAUAGGUAGCCCUUCUGAAAAGAUAUGAAUGUGAUGUUUUGGUUUGAUGCCUAUUUAGGAAAAAAACUUAUCUUUUGCAGUGUUUAGCAGGUAGUAUAAAACUUUGGAUGUUUAGAUCUAAAUGCCACUUCAAGAAUUCUUAUGAGGACAUUGUAGAUUAGUAAUAGUCCAAAUGUGAAUAAAAGCUAUGGAAAAUAGUUUUCUCUUGCCUUACAUAAUCAACAAAAGAAAAAUGUAAUGCAUCACACAUUCUUUACUAUGCUGAAGUCUUCUCUACUUUUACAUACACACUUAUGGUUUCAAUAUUUAUUAGCUUCUUUGUAACUCAGAGCAAGGGUCCCCCAAUUUGUUCAACCUGCUAGAAGCAGCAACACUCACCUUCAGACUAAUGCAGUACUAGAAAAUACAUGCACACACAAUCUCUUUUUGAACAUAGAUGGUAUUGAUUUAGAGGAAUUACUUUUCAAUUGCAUGCAUCUUACAACUUUAAUGGGAUGAGGAACUAUAAUUGCUGAUUGGGAUGUGGAAGCAAGAUGACUAAAUAGACUGGAUAUUGGGUUAUUUAUCCAUGGUUUGGAAAUUGAAAGCUUCUGUAAUUUCUAAAUUGCCCCAAUUUACUUAGCUCUCAAGAAAAGGGACCUAUUUAAUUUGGAAAUGCUACCUCUGACUAGUUAUUUCAUUCUACUUGGCUGUUAGAUCUGGACAUUACUUUAGAAGUAUACGAUUAAAAACUGCAACUGUUUUCCACAUCAAAUUCAUCUUGCAAAAUAUCCACCACCAGGUGGAUAUUUUUUUGGACCACCACCUACUUUUGGUCUGUUGGUUUCUUCAUGUACCAUAUAAAUGGAUUUAAGUUGAAAGCUUACAAGGUCCUCUUUCUUGGCACCUAAUGUGUCAAGCCAUUUUUAUUCAUAAGCCAUUGAUACUACUAUCCUGUGGAUGAUUGGGAAAUGAGUCAAGUUAGAGAUCUAGAAAAGAAUGUGGUUACUUGCAUUAACUCUUCAGCAUCAAUCUUCAGAUCAAUCCAGUUUAAUGUAAUGCUUGUUUAUUAGCAUUGUCUUGGAUUAUUUAUGCAUUAUGUUGUAGCUUUGAGAUUUGUGUGAUUGUUUAUCUAUAGAAUGACAUUGCAUGGUAGGUGUGAGAAGCUGGCUCUCUCUGGUUUGAAGAUAAAACAGAAUAUUUGGGCAAGAUAUGACCAGUUUAAAUGCUAAAGGAUUUAGGUCCACAUUGCCUAAGUUUUAUUUUCAGUUUGCUCUAGCUAGAUACUGAAAAUCUCUUAAUUACCUUAAUAUUAAGAGCAAUACCUUACCUUUUAUUAUUUAAAUCUGUCAUAUCCUGACAGGUCAAGCCUCUCACGCUUUUCCUACAAUGUCAUUCUUAAAAUAAACAAUCACAAUGUCAAAACUACAAGAUAAUACAUGCUUAGUUUUAAACAUUACAUUUGAUAGAAUACUCUGUAUGCUCAGGAACAUUUUCAUUUUCUUUUCAUGUAAUUCAAACAUUAGAAGAAUCUUCCAUUUAGUAAUUUUGAAGUAAGGUUCCUCAGUUCUAUAUAUUUUCACGAAUGGGGUUAAUAAAUUGUCGACUAAAAUUAUAGUUAGGCAAGUUUUUCUCUGCUUUAACCCCUGGUCAACCUAAGCCAUGUACUUUUUUUUUUUUUUUAUUUAGUUUCUCAACAUUUAAUAGUUGUUGUAAAUGUGCAUCACAAUCGUACAGUGUAUUCUGUUUCUGAUCUUCCAUAAAAAAGCAUGUCUGAGUAUGGGGAAACAUUACCUUUGCUUGGAAACAAGUGAAGCUUAGGACUAGAGAAACUCUGUCUAAAAAAAAA
Octopus sinensis (East Asian common octopus) is the source of this 3849-nucleotide long non-coding RNA. RefSeq lists it as uncharacterized. NCBI's taxonomy places the organism in Eukaryota, Metazoa, Mollusca, Cephalopoda, Octopoda, Octopodidae. The record is from RefSeq and is a predicted model, not a curated record. The transcript is spliced from 2 exons.